This 465-nucleotide ribosomal RNA is filed under the name Vreelandella stevensii. RNAcentral's name for it is "partial 16S ribosomal RNA". It matches the Rfam family "Bacterial small subunit ribosomal RNA", at positions 338 to 795 of the family's 1533-position model. The record is from RNAcentral. Lineage: Bacteria; Pseudomonadati; Pseudomonadota; Gammaproteobacteria; Oceanospirillales; Halomonadaceae.
CCUACGGGAGGCAGCAGUGGGGAAUAUUGGACAAUGGGCGAAAGCCUGAUCCAGCCAUGCCGCGUGUGUGAAGAAGGCCUUCGGGUUGUAAAGCACUUUCAGUGGGGAAGAAAGCCUUGGGGCUAAUACCCUCGAGGAAGGACAUCACCCACAGAAGAAGCACCGGCUAACUCCGUGCCAGCAGCCGCGGUAAUACGGAGGGUGCGAGCGUUAAUCGGAAUUACUGGGCGUAAAGCGCGCGUAGGCGGUCUGAUAAGCCGGUUGUGAAAGCCCCGGGCUCAACCUGGGAACGGCAUCCGGAACUGUCAGGCUAGAGUGCAGGAGAGGAAGGUAGAAUUCCCGGUGUAGCGGUGAAAUGCGUAGAGAUCGGGAGGAAUACCAGUGGCGAAGGCGGUCUUCUGGACUGACACUGACGCUGAGGUGCGAAAGCGUGGGUAGCAAACAGGAUUAGAUACCCGGGUAGUC